This 502-nucleotide ribosomal RNA is filed under the name uncultured Clostridia bacterium. RNAcentral describes it as "partial 16S ribosomal RNA". It matches the Rfam family "Bacterial small subunit ribosomal RNA", at positions 384 to 896 of the family's 1533-position model. The record is from RNAcentral. Lineage: Bacteria; Bacillati; Bacillota; Clostridia.
UGACGCAGCAACGCCGCGUGAAGGAAGAAGGCCUUCGGGUUGUAAASUUCUKUSAUGAGGGACGAAGGAAGUGACGGUACCUCARGAAGCAAGCCACCGGCUAACUACGUGCCAGCAGCCGCGGUAAUACGUAGGGGGCGAGCGUUGUCCGGAAUUACUGGGUGUAAAGGGCGCGUAGGCGGGGAYWUAAGUCAGRUGUGAAAUCYCAUGGCUCAACYGGGGGGMUGCMUCUGAAACURURUUYCUUGAGGGCUGGAGAGGGAAGCGGAAUUCCCUAGUGUAGCGGUGAAAUGCGUAGAUAUUGGGAGGAACACCAGUGGCGAAGGCGGCUUUCUGGACWGKACCUGACGCUGAGGYGCGAAAGCGUGGGGAGCKAACAGGAUUAGAUACCCUGGUAGUCCACGCYGUAAACGAUGGAUACUAGGUGURGGAGGUAUCGACCCCUUCUGUGCCGGAGUWAACACAAUAAGUAUCCCACCUGGGGAGUACGGCCGCAAGGUUG